This 202-nucleotide microRNA precursor is filed under the name Capsicum annuum. RNAcentral describes it as "MIR159 microRNA precursor family". It matches the Rfam family "MIR159 microRNA precursor family". Lineage: Eukaryota; Viridiplantae; Streptophyta; Magnoliopsida; Solanales; Solanaceae. The record is from Rfam by way of RNAcentral.
AUGGAGAAUAAGGAGCUCUCUCCAGUCCAGUCCGAGGCAGUCGAUAACUAAAAAUACAGCUGAUGACUCGUUGAUUCUUAAGCACGUCGUAAACAAGAUGGAGUUUUGGAAAUUUGACGUGUUUGAGAUUCAACGAUGCAUGAGCUGUGUUUAGCUAUCGCUGUCACGUCUUGGACUGAAGGGAGCUCCCUAUUAUAUCCAC